GAUGAAGAACGCAGCGAAAUGCGAUAAGUAAUGUGAAUUGCAGAAUUCAGUGAAUCAUCGAAUCUUUGAACGCACAUUGCGCCCGCCAGUAUUCUGGCGGGCAUGCCUGUUCGAGCGUCAUUUCAACCCUCAAGCCCAGCUUGGUGUUGGGGAUCGGCACAGGCGCCCUCGGGCGCCCGCCGUCCCCUAAAUCUAGUGGCGGUCCCGCUGCAGCCUCCCCUGCGUAGUAGUUUUCUCCUCGCAAGGGCAGCUCGGUGGCGACCUCGCCGUAAAACCCCCAACUUCUGAAAGGUUGACCUCGAAUCAGGUAGGAAUACCCGCUGAACUUAAGCAUAUCAAUAAGCGGAGGA
RNAcentral lists this unclassified non-coding RNA (350 nucleotides) under soil metagenome. Its description in RNAcentral is "partial contains 5.8S ribosomal RNA, internal transcribed spacer 2, and large subunit ribosomal RNA". The stretch from base 1 to 120 matches the Rfam family "5.8S ribosomal RNA", at positions 35 to 154 of the family's 154-position model. The record is from RNAcentral.